This 419-nucleotide long non-coding RNA is filed under the name Equus caballus (horse). RNAcentral describes it as "lncRNA (ENSECAG00000050174.1)". Lineage: Eukaryota; Metazoa; Chordata; Mammalia; Perissodactyla; Equidae. The record is from RNAcentral.
GGAGGGAGCUGUGUUUGGAACUCUGCCAGGGUCUUCACACGGAAAGGGGCAGCUGAUGGGAGUUGUGGUCUUCAGUAGAAGGACACAGCCAAUCAGUGACAUGGCAGGGAGGGAGUGAGAGAAAUAUAGACGCUAACUUCUCUCUCCUCCCACCGUCUGUCUCUGCUGGUGCUGUCCACUGAAUGAACUUGACACAAAGCCAUCCACACUGCCAGUGCCCAGAGCAGGCUGGAGAGGGACCAAGGAUGGAAAAGGAAGACCUCCUGCACAGGGUGUAUCAGUCUGGGUCCGAUCAGGAAAACAGAAGCCACUCUGCAUGUUUCAGCGUGGCUUGACGAGUGGUGCUAGGUCUGCGCCCGGGAUCCAAACCUGCAAACCUUGGGCCGCCGAAGUAGAGCACACGAACUUAAACACUAUGC